Molecule: ribosomal RNA, 308 nt
Filed under: uncultured bacterium
Lineage: Bacteria
Description: partial 16S ribosomal RNA
Rfam family: Bacterial small subunit ribosomal RNA
Source: RNAcentral
GAGACAGCAGUCGCCACGGUAAUACGUAGGGGGCGAGCGGUGUCCGAAGUUACUGGGCGUAAAGCGCGCGUAGGCGGCUUCUUAAGUCUGAGGUGAAAGGUUCAACGCUUAACGUGAACAGUGCCUUGGAUACUGGGGAGCUUGAGUAUGGGAGAGGGCAGUGGAAUGGCUGGUGUAGCGGUGAAAUGCGUAGAUAUCAGUCGGAACACCCAUGGCGAAGGCAGCUGCCUGGCCUAAUACUGACGAUGAGGUGCGAAAGCGUGGGGAGUGAACGGGAUUAGAUACCCCUGUAGUCCCUGUCUCUUAUA